Molecule: ribosomal RNA, 465 nt
Filed under: Vreelandella stevensii
Lineage: Bacteria; Pseudomonadati; Pseudomonadota; Gammaproteobacteria; Oceanospirillales; Halomonadaceae
Description: partial 16S ribosomal RNA
Rfam family: Bacterial small subunit ribosomal RNA
Source: RNAcentral
CCUACGGGUGGCUGCAGUGGGGAAUAUUGGACAAUGGGGGCAACCCUGAUCCAGCCAUGCCGCGUGUGUGAAGAAGGCCCGCGGGUUGUAAAGCACUUUCAGUGAGGAAGAACGCCUGGUGGUUAAUACCCAUCAGGAAAGACAUCACUCACAGAAGAAGCACCGGCUAACUCCGUGCCAGCAGCCGCGGUAAUACGGAGGGUGCGAGCGUUAAUCGGAAUUACUGGGCGUAAAGCGCGCGUAGGUGGCUUGAUAAGCCGGUUGUGAAAGCCCCGGGCUCAACCUGGGAACGGCAUCCGGAACUGUCAAGCUAGAGUGCAGGAGAGGAAGGUAGAAUUCCCGGUGUAGCGGUGAAAUGCGUAGAGAUCGGGAGGAAUACCAGUGGCGAAGGCGGCCUUCUGGACUAACACUGACACUGAGGUGCGAAAGCGUGGGUAGCAAACAGGAUUAGAUACCCGUGUAGUC